This 279-nucleotide long non-coding RNA is filed under the name Phaseolus vulgaris (common bean). RNAcentral describes it as "long non-coding RNA (PVUL_LNC000616)". Lineage: Eukaryota; Viridiplantae; Streptophyta; Magnoliopsida; Fabales; Fabaceae. The record is from RNAcentral.
GUGAUGAGAAUCAAAUAAAGGAGGCUUUUAUUAAUGGAGGAAGAGGACAUCCACCCUCACAUUUGAAGUUCUUCCUUCUAGUUUUCUCAAAAUUAAAAGAAGACAUAAAAUAAAGAUGAGGCCCAAGCCCAAAGCCCAAGCCCAAGUCCAUCCCAUGAGGGGCAAGGCCAAGCUUUGAAAUACUCUUGUAUAGUUUUAGGAGGUGUGGUUAUUAAAUAAAGGAGUGUGAAAAUGUAAAAUAAAGUCACAUUACCCAUGUGACUUAGGAGAGUGGUGUAG